Long non-coding RNA from Vigna radiata var. radiata (mung bean), 989 nucleotides. RefSeq lists it as uncharacterized. The record is from RefSeq and is a predicted model, not a curated record. Lineage: Eukaryota; Viridiplantae; Streptophyta; Magnoliopsida; Fabales; Fabaceae. The transcript has 2 exons.
GAGAGUUGACAAUAAAUUGGAGCACGGAUAAGGUAUGCUUCCACCUCUGUGAUUAUGAUAUAAUUGUGUGAUAAUUAUAUUUCUCUAUUAAUCAUUUCAUAAUUGGUAUAGAUCUUGAUAGUUUGAGGGAUUAGUAUGUAACUCUCAGCAAAGCAAGCUCUUAAGUAUCUUAAAUUAAUGACUAUCGUUGAUAAUCUAACUAUGAGUUCAAGUGUCGUAUUGAGUACGAAAAAGAAAAUAAAACACUAUAUAGAGAUGGAGAUCCAUUAGUCGAAAUAUUUUAGAUAGAAAGUGAUGUUAAUCCGUUACGUGAUUAGAUUCAGAUUUCAUUAGUGUUAUUUUUGGUGUUUGUUGGAAUGUGAUCUUCCCACCUUUUUGGGGUUGGUUUCAUCACUUUUCCAGCCAGUGAAGCCAACCAAUUCCUUUCUACUAACUACCAUAAUAAAUGAGUGGAAAGAAAGGAAAAGGAAGAGGCUUUUGUAUUGGAUGGCUGGGAAUAGAGGCCAUAAGCAUGUUCAAGCAACUAUUUGUGCUUGAGCUUUAGAUAAACUAUAUGAUCUACCACUGUUGGAAGAAACAUCAUCAACUCAAUUCAACUCAAAUCCAAAAACAUGACGCAGUCUGCACCAGCACAGCAGAAGAUAUACUAUGAUCACGCUCAGACGGGUCGUGAGGAGAAGGAAAGCUUCUAUGCUUUUUUGUAUACAAUCUGUUGCUGCUUUUGCUGUUAUGAGAGUUGUAGGUGCUGCUCAGAACGCACCUGCUGUUGCUGUCCCUAGAUUGUCUAAUUUCCAAGAGACGAUUGUCAAGUUUAUGUUUCAUCAUUACUUUGUUGUAUGAAAUGAUGAUUCUGGAAGCCAAUAAGGAGUGAUCUUCUGUAUAAUUGUGCACUUCAAUUGUUUUUUGUUUUUAUGAUAUCGCUUUCAAGAAUAAAAUGAUUGUUACAUAAAUCAAUUGCAGCAGCGCAUAGUGUAAAACUAUUGAAGUCA